This 145-nucleotide unclassified non-coding RNA is filed under the name soil metagenome. RNAcentral describes it as "partial internal transcribed spacer 1". The record is from RNAcentral.
UAAUAAGUGUUUUAUGGCACUUUUUAAAUCCAUAUCCACCUUGUGUGCAAUGUCAGUCGAUCUUCUUCAUGUAGAUCGACCAAACAUCAACCUUUAUCUUUUAACUCUUUGUCUGAAAAAUAUUAUGAAUAAACAAUUCAAAAUA